UUGGAUCCAGACUUUGAUUCUGGCUCAGAUUGAACGCUGGCGGCAUGCCUUACACAUGCAAGUCGAACGGCAGCAUGGAGAGCUUGCUCCUGAUGGCGAGUGGCGAACGGGUGAGUAUUACAUCGGAACGUGUCCGUUUGUGGGGGACAACCGUCCGAAAGGAUGGCUAAUACCGCAUAAGACCUGAGGGUGAAAGCCGGGGACCGCAAGGCCCGGCGCAGACGGAGCGGCCGAUGAUUGAUUAGCUAGUUGGGGAGGUAAAGGCUCACCAAGGCGACGAUCAAUAGCUGGUCUGAGAGGACGACCAGCCACACUGGAACUGAGACACGGUCCAGACUCCUACGGGAGGCAGCAGUGGGGAAUUUUGGACAAUGGGGGCAACCCUGAUCCAGCCAUGCCGCGUGCGGGAAGAAGGCCUUCGGGUUGUAAACCGCUUUUGUCAGGGACGAAAAGCUCCGGAGUAAUAUGCCGGAGUGCUGACGGUACCUGAAGAAUAAGCACCGGCUAACUACGUGCCAGCAGCCGCGGUAAUACGUAGGGUGCAAGCGUUAAUCGGAAUUACUGGGCGUAAAGCGUGCGCAGGCGGUUGGGUAAGACAGAUGUGAAAUCCCCGGGCUUAACCUGGGAACUGCAUUUGUGACUGUCCGACUGGAGUACGUCAGAGGGGGGUGGAAUUCCACGUGUAGCAGUGAAAUGCGUAGAUAUGUGGAAGAACACCGAUGGCGAAGGCAGCCCCCUGGGACGCAACUGACGCUCAUGCACGAAAGCGUGGGGAGCAAACAGGAUUAGAUACCCUGGUAGUCCACGCCCUAAACGAUGUCUGCUGGUUGUUGGGAAUUUAAUUCUCAGUAACGAAGCCAACGCGUGAAGCAGACCGCCUGGGGAGUACGGUCGCAAGAUUACAACUCAAAGGAAUUGACGGA
RNAcentral lists this ribosomal RNA (923 nucleotides) under uncultured organism. Its description in RNAcentral is "bacterial SSU rRNA". It matches the Rfam family "Bacterial small subunit ribosomal RNA", at positions 1 to 917 of the family's 1533-position model. The record is from RNAcentral.